GUGAAAUUCAGAUGCCCUGCCCCAUCUCAGAUCCAUUAAAUGAGAAUUCCAAGAGUUGAGCCUAGAAAAUCUAUGUCCUCGUCAGCCAACCUCGUCCUAGUCGUCUGGAAGGCAUUCAGGAGCCGCUCAUCUUACAAAGGUCAAGGCCACACCCAGUUAAAAACAGAGACACCCUGUGGAUCUGUCCAAUAGAGGAGACUGGGCAGAUGUCAGCCCUCUGAGGAUGUCAUCAGGCAUUUGGACUUGGAUGACUGGAAGGGAUUGAGCUGAAGCUUCACCCCAGAAACAAUAACAACAAAAGUUCAAAACCUGAAAAGUGAACCAUGAAGCUCAGUAAAAAGGACCGAGGAGAAGAUGAAGAAAGUGAUUCAGCGAAAAAGAAAUUGGUCAGUCCUUUUUUUUUUCUGUCUCCCUUACAUGAUUAUUCCGGUCACCCAGGGGGUAGUACCCCUUUCCCCUGGGUCAGUGGGAGGCUGUUAAGGUGAAGCUGGGCAGAGAAAAGAGUGAGCAGCAGCUGAAAGCCAAGUUCUAUGGGAAGGAGCCAUGGGGAUUGUAGAGUGUCUGGG
This 566-nucleotide long non-coding RNA is filed under the name Homo sapiens (human). RNAcentral's name for it is "non-protein coding lnc-WDR1-5:1". The record is from RNAcentral. Lineage: Eukaryota; Metazoa; Chordata; Mammalia; Primates; Hominidae.